ACACACACGCCCAUCCUUUUUUAGUCUGUAAUUAACAGUGUUAAUUUUUUUUCUGAAAAUACAUUAAGAAGGUGAGAGAAAGUCUGUGACAAAAUGAUGAGGGUACAGCCCACACAGCUGAAUGUCUCUAUAUGGGGGGCCUUCUUUCUCUGAGCGCACAGUGUCCAUUGCAAGUGCUACCAGCACUCAUACAAAUGUUGCAUUUCUUUGAACAACAGUACUGCAGUACUGAAAAGUGAGCAUGUUUUCAGCUUCAUUUAAUUAUCAUUAGUUGUCUUCUUUCUUUGAAUGUCUUGCCUUCGGUAGCUCGACAGUGCCUUUUCUGUCCUCUCAGAAUUUUCUGUGCUGUGAGCUUUGCACUUACAAAUGAUUUGAACUUGUGGAAGUGGCAGGGGCAACUUUCGGAAACAUGUAGCUGCCAAGUUUCCUGUGAUGUGAUCUUAAAAUAGACCAGACUGGGAAAGAGGGGAGGACUGUCACUAAGUGCUGCUCCGCAUGUCAGGACUGUUUUUACUUGAUCUGUAUCGGCUGGUGAACUCCUUUGCAAGCAGAAGAAAGAACUUCACCCCCACCCAUUUCCUCUUUUCAGGCUAUUUUGGGCUCACUGUGAAGUUCUCAGUGUACUUUCUCAGCCAGAGCAGCAUUGUGAGCUCCUUCUGGAGUCAUUAAAUUUAACGAAGAGCUAGUCCCAGGAAGAGGCAUCAGGAUAUUAAGGAAUUUAUGGAAUAUUCAAGCUGAGGAUUCUUAUUAGUGCAUGGUUGAAAAAUGCCACUGCCUAAACAUACAUCACUGAUCUAUUUCUGUAGCGAGGCGAUAGCCUAAUUCUUUUUUUUUCCCUCUGAAGUUUCCACCAGAAUGGCUCAGUUGUUUUCAGUGAGAUUUUCUUUGACUCCAGCCACUGUGGGAGAAAUCAGAAUUGGAGUCCAAUUUUCCAUGUGGAGGUGAAGAGUUCUCCUCUCAUUAGUUAUGUUCAUAUUCCCAGGAAAAAAAAAGCAUCUAGAGCAGAAAAAAGAAAAAAAUCUAAAGAAGAUGUGGAAAUGUGGGAGAACACAUUCUCAGAUUUCUCUGCAUAGAAAACUCAGGAUGAUAUGAAACAUACACAUGUAAAAGAGAAGAAGACAACGGGGGCAGGGAUUAAAGGGUUUUGUCCCAUGUUUGGUUGGGGCUUUUUGCUGUUUUUUGCAGAACUGCACAGUCCUGCAGUUCCUCAAGUCCUCAAGACUGUUACUACUUGAGCCUACCAAAGGCUAAGCAGUUUAGAGGAGGAAGGAUUUGUAACCUGCAGGAUUUCUCAGUGAUGUUGUAAAUACUAGCUUAAUCCUUGGAAGAGCUUGGAUGGAAGGUUACACUUGAUUAAACAUAAGCAUUUUCCAGAGAAGUCCUUAGAAAGUCCUUUGUGGGAAUGGAAAAAAUGUCUGAUUUUAUUUUUUUUUUCCUAAACUCAUUAAAUUUAAAAUUCAAGAACAAACCAGGAAAAGAUUAUUUGGCUCUUGCUGCAUCAUAAUAAAUUAUCAUAACAAAACAAAAGGCAGAUAUUCAGUAUCUGAAAAUUCUUUGAAAUUUGCCUUUGGGAAGAAUGCUCCUUGUGAAAUCAUGGUGAGGUCAGUUGACAGAUCCUCACUUCUCAGCAUGGAUGGUAUGUUAUUUUUUUGCACUGUAAAUGCAUCAGUCUUCUGGGUGUGUGCAUACCCCAAACAGGUACCCUUUUUUUCCCAUUUUAAAAGGGAACAGAUAUUUUCCAGAAGAAUCAAUCACCUUUGUUUUGCCCCCAAAUUAUAAUUUCAUCACUGAGUAGUCUUGAUGCCUCAAAUGUUUUCAGGUCUACCUGAAGUCCUUUGGGGAGAAUUGAGAAGGAAAUAGUAAUUUUAAGUUUCUACAUGACUUACUCUUGGGUUUGUUUGGUCUGUAUUAAAAGCCUAAAUAAAAGUCCAUGCAUUACUUUUAACGCAUGAGAA
Molecule: long non-coding RNA, 1955 nt
Organism: Pezoporus occidentalis (night parrot)
Lineage: Eukaryota; Metazoa; Chordata; Aves; Psittaciformes; Psittacidae
Exons: 2
Source: RefSeq, a predicted model, not a curated record